ACUCCUGCGGGAGGCAGCAGUGAGGAAUAUUGGACAAUGGGUGGAAGCCUGAUCCAGCCAUCCCGCGUGCAGGAAGACGGCCCUAUGGGUUGUAAACUGCUUUUAUCUGGGGAUAAACCUACUUACGUGUAAGUAGCUGAAGGUACCAGAAGAAUAAGCACCGGCUAACUCCGUGCCAGCAGCCGCGGUAAUACGGAGGGUGCAAGCGUUAUCCGGAUUUAUUGGGUUUAAAGGGUCCGUAGGCGGACUGAUAAGUCAGUGGUGAAAUCCGACAGCUUAACUGUCGAACUGCCAUUGAUACUGUUAGUCUUGAGUAAGGUUGAAGUGGCUGGAAUAAGUAGUGUAGCGGUGAAAUGCAUAGAUAUUACUUAGAACACCAAUUACGAAGGCAGGUCACUAAGUCUUAACUGACGCUGAUGGACGAAAGCGUGGGGAGCGAACAGGAUUAGAAACCCCUGUAGUCCCAUG
RNAcentral lists this ribosomal RNA (468 nucleotides) under uncultured organism. RNAcentral's name for it is "partial 16S ribosomal RNA". It matches the Rfam family "Bacterial small subunit ribosomal RNA", at positions 335 to 799 of the family's 1533-position model. The record is from RNAcentral.